UACGGAGGGUGCAAGCGUUAAUCGGAAUUACUGGGCGUAAAGCUCGCGUAGGCGGUUUUUUAAGUCGGAUGUGAAAGCCCCGGGCUCAACCUGGGAACUGCAUCCGAUACUGGAAGACUAGAAUGCGGGAGAGGGAGGUAGAAUUCCAUGUGUAGCAGUGAAAUGCGUAGAUAUAUGGAGGAAUACCAGUGGCGAAGGCGGCCUCCUGGCUCGACAUUGACGCUGAGGUGCGAAAGCGUGGGGAGCAAACGGG
This 253-nucleotide ribosomal RNA is filed under the name uncultured bacterium. RNAcentral's name for it is "partial 16S ribosomal RNA". It matches the Rfam family "Bacterial small subunit ribosomal RNA", at positions 524 to 776 of the family's 1533-position model. The record is from RNAcentral.